This 253-nucleotide ribosomal RNA is filed under the name uncultured bacterium. RNAcentral's name for it is "partial 16S ribosomal RNA". It matches the Rfam family "Bacterial small subunit ribosomal RNA", at positions 524 to 776 of the family's 1533-position model. The record is from RNAcentral.
UACGAAGGGGGCUAGCGUUGUUCGGAAUCAUUGGGCGUAAAGGGCGCGUAGGUGGCCCGGUCAGCGUGCGGUGAAAGCUCGGGGCUCAACCCCGAGUCGGCCGUGCGAACUGCUGGGCUCGAGCACUGUAGAGGCAGGCGGAAUUCCGGGUGUAGCGGUGGAAUGCGUAGAGAUCCGGAAGAACACCGGUGGCGAAGGCGGCCUGCUGGGCAGUGGCUGACACUGAGGCGCGACAGCGUGGGGAGCAAACAGG